This 1086-nucleotide long non-coding RNA is filed under the name Monodelphis domestica (gray short-tailed opossum). RNAcentral describes it as "lncRNA (ENSMODG00000035020.2)". Lineage: Eukaryota; Metazoa; Chordata; Mammalia; Didelphimorphia; Didelphidae. The record is from RNAcentral.
AUGAAAACAUCUGGUCUCCCACGUCAUACUUCAUGCCAGCUGAUACAGACCAGGAAGAGAAGCAGACGGAAGGUGAUGGCAUCAGCUAUCUACAUGCCAGCCACAAUCCAGACAUGCUGGAAGGACACUUCUUUGUCAUGUAUAACUCUUCGUGAUCCCAUUUGGAUUUUCUUGGCCAAGAUACUGGAGUGGUUUGUCAAUUCCUUUUCAAGCUCAUAUGACAGAGAAGGUAACUGUGGCAAAGUUAAGUGACUUGCUCAGUGUCACAACUACUAAUAAUUUCCAUUAGCCUCAGUUUACCUUAUUUUGCUCAUUAUUAAAUGGACUGUGAGGGUCUCAAUUCAUUCCUAUCUCACGCCUUCAGUCUAAGUCAGGUCUACUCAGCCCUGGUCCAUUAUAGAGCCUAUGAUCCUAUAAGUUAAGAUGGAGCACUGGGCCUGGAGUCAGGAAGCCAAGAGUUCAAAUCUAAUCUCAGACACUUACUCUCUGUGCAGUCCCAGGCAAGUCAUUUAACCUCUACUUGCCUCAGUUACCUCAUCUGUAAAAUUAGGAUAAUAAUAGCACCUACCUCCCUGGGUUCUAGUGAAGAUAAAAUGAGAUAAUAAUUGUAAAGUGAUUAGCACAGUUAGUAGUCCUUAGUAAACUCUACAUAAAUGUUAACUAUUAUAAUAAUGAUUAUUAUCAUCUUUCUAUUUGUACAGACAAUGACUUCUAGAAGUGAUUACCAACAGCAGUCUUUUAUUCCAAAAUGGCCAGGCAAAAGAAAAAUUAAACCUCAGUGAAAAAUUCCUCUGAAAAGCUCAGAAAGGAAAAGGAAAAAAUCUUUCACAAAGUAAUAACAGGAGUGGCAAAACAAAAGCAUUAAAAGACCAUCUGAUUUUAUUAGUGGGAGCCACAAAUGCAAGGAAAUGCAGAUAAGAAUCAUACCUCCACUCAAUGAAGUGCAGCAGGAAGCCAUUAAGGAGAAGGAUUUGUCGAUUUUCUGGCGAUUUACUCCUUCACCGAGUUUGUCUUACAACUUUAAUGCUAUUUUAAUGUUGCACUUACUCUGUGAAUUUCUGAGAAUAAAAUUUUAUUUAGUUAUCA